GACGAGAAGACCCCGUGAAGUUGUUAACUAAGUGGCARAAAUUUCUUACCACUUUUGUUGUUGGCUGGGGCAGCWAAAGAGSAAGAUCARACUCUUUCUUUUCUUUGUUUGAUAGACKAUCCACUUACUUUAUUUAGUGRUUAACAGAAGAAGUUACUCCGGGGAUAACAGCGUUAUUUUCUUUGAUAGUUCUUAUAGAUGAGAAAGUUUGCCACCUCGAUGU
RNAcentral lists this ribosomal RNA (223 nucleotides) under Aequipecten opercularis. RNAcentral describes it as "partial 16S ribosomal RNA". It matches the Rfam family "Bacterial large subunit ribosomal RNA", at positions 2079 to 2532 of the family's 2925-position model. Lineage: Eukaryota; Metazoa; Mollusca; Bivalvia; Pectinida; Pectinidae. The record is from RNAcentral.